RNAcentral lists this ribosomal RNA (465 nucleotides) under uncultured bacterium. RNAcentral's name for it is "partial 16S ribosomal RNA". It matches the Rfam family "Bacterial small subunit ribosomal RNA", at positions 28 to 507 of the family's 1533-position model. The record is from RNAcentral.
GACGAACGCUGGCGGCGUGCUUAACACAUGCAAGUCGUACGGUAAGGCCCUUUCGGGGGUCCACGAGUGGCGAACGGGUGAGUAACACGUGAGUAACCUGCCCACAACUUUGGGAUAACGCUAGGAAACUGGUGCUAAUACUGGAUAUGUGCUCCUGCUGCAUGGUGGGGGUUGGAAAGCUCCGGCGGUUGUGGAUGGACUCGCGGCCUAUCAGCUUGUUGGUGGGGUAGUGGCCUACCAAGGCGGCGACGGGUAGCCGGCCUGAGAGGGUGACCGGCCACAGUGGGGGUGAGAGACGGACCAGACGCCUACGGGAGGGAGAAGUGGGGAAUGUUGGACAAUGGGCGCAAGCCUGAUGCAGCAACGUCGAGUGCGGGAUGACGGCCUUCGGGUUGUAAACCGCGUGCAGCAGGGAGGAAGCUUUUUGUGACGGUACCUGCAGAAGAAGCACCGGCUCACUACGUG